This is a non-coding RNA of Cucurbita pepo subsp. pepo (vegetable marrow), 247 nucleotides long. The record is from RefSeq and is a predicted model, not a curated record. NCBI's taxonomy places the organism in Eukaryota, Viridiplantae, Streptophyta, Magnoliopsida, Cucurbitales, Cucurbitaceae.
UGGCCUCGAGGAUUGCUUCUAUACGGACCCCCUGGCACUGGCAAGACGAGCUUAGUACGUGCAAUUGUUCAGGAAUGCGGUGCUCAUUUAACCACUAUCAGUCCCCAUUCAGUUCACAGAGCACAUGCUGGAGAAAGCGAAAAAGUUCUGCGCGAGGCUUUCUCCAAGGCAUCAUCUCAUGCAAUAUCAGGGAAGCCAUCAGUUAUCUUUAUAGAUGAAAUUGAUGCACUUUGUCCACGUCGGGAUU